This is a small nuclear RNA of Bombina bombina (fire-bellied toad), 192 nucleotides long. RefSeq annotates it as U2 spliceosomal RNA. NCBI's taxonomy places the organism in Eukaryota, Metazoa, Chordata, Amphibia, Anura, Bombinatoridae. The transcript has a single exon. The record is from RefSeq and is a predicted model, not a curated record.
AUCGCUUCUCUGCCUUUUUGAUUAAGAUCAAGUGUAGUAUCUGUUCUAAUCAGUUUAAUAUCUGAUACGUCCCCUUUCUGGAGUCCAUAUAUUAGAUGAAUUUCUGGAACAAGGAGAUGGAAGAAGAGCUUGCUCUGUCCACUUCACGCAUUGGCCUGGUAUUGUAUGACCUCCAGGAGCGGUGCACCCAUC